AACGAACGCUGGCGGCGUGGCUAAGACAUGCAAGUCGUACGGACCGCGGUAGCAAUAUUGCGGUUAGUGGCGAAAGGGUGAGUAAUGCAUGGGUAACGUACCCUGAACUCGGGGAUAACAGCGGGAGCAAUCCCUUUAGCGAAAGUGCUGCUAAUACCCGAUGAAGUCGCCGGGUCGCAUGACCGGGCGACCAAAGGUGGGGACCGCAAGGCCUGCCGGUUUGGGAGCGGCCCAUGUCCUAUCAGCUAGUUGGUGAGGUAACGGCUUACCAAGGCUAUGACGGGUAGCCGGACUGAGAGGUCGAUCGGCCACAUCGGGACUGAGACACUGCCCGGACACCUACGGGUGGCUGCAGUAACGAAUAUUGGGCAAUGGGCGCAAGCCUGACCCAGCGACGCCGCGUGCAGGAGGAAGUCCUUCGGGAUGUAAACUGCUGUCAGGGGCUAGCAAGCAAAGGGUGUUAACAGCAUCCGGCGUUGAGCCGCCCCAGAGGAAGCCUCGACUAACUCUGUGCCAGCAGUCGCGGUAAGACAGAGGAGGCAAGCGUUGUUCGGAAUCACUGGGCUUAAAGCGCGUGUAGGCGGCGGCGCAAGUGUCGUGUGAAAUCCCACGGCUCAACCGUGGAACUGCACGGCAAACUACGUCGCUUGAGGUUGGUAGAGGUGCCUGGAACUCUCGGUGGAGCGGUGAAAUGCGUUGAUAUCGAGAGGAACGCCGGAAGCGAAAGCGAGGCACUGGGCCGAUUCUGACGCUGAGACGCGAAAGCGUGGGGAGCAAACAGGAUUAGAUACCCUGGUAGUCCACGCUGUAAACGAUGCACACUAGACGUCGGAGCCUCUGACGGUGCCGGCGUCGUAGCGAAAGUACUAAGUGUGCCGCCUGGGGAGUACGGCCGCAAGGCUA
This 903-nucleotide ribosomal RNA is filed under the name uncultured bacterium. RNAcentral describes it as "bacterial SSU rRNA". It matches the Rfam family "Bacterial small subunit ribosomal RNA", at positions 28 to 896 of the family's 1533-position model. The record is from RNAcentral.